AUGUGGGUGCAGCAGGACCAAGCGAUCCUCUCUGCCAUCCAGGGUUCCCUCGGCGACGGGGUCGCUGGCCUUUGUCUCUUCGCUGCCACCUCCAUGGACGCCUGGACGACCCUGGAGCACGCCUUUGCCCAUGUCUCUACCUCCCGCUCGAUGGCCCUUCGCAGCGAACUCGCCGACAUCAAGAAGCUGGACUCCUCCGCUACGACCUACUUCAACAAGAUGAAGGUGUUGGCGGACACGCUCACCUCUAUUGGUCGGCCGCUUAGCGACGAGGAGUUCGCCGGCUUCGUCAUCAAAGGCCUCGACGCCGACUACGACAAUCUCGCCGAGGCCGUCCACAACGCCAAGCCAGCGAUGCCUCCUCACGAGCUCAACUCAUGCCUCCCCUUCACCGAGCAACGCGUCGAGGCUCGUCGCUCCUCCGUCACCAUCACCGCCCAGCCGGCGGCCUUCUGGGCCUCUCGUGGCCAGCGCCCACCUGCCCCGUCACCAGGCAAGGCAGCCCCGCCCCCUGCAUCGACCCUGGGUGGGGGCCCUAACACUAGGGUGGUGUGCCAGCUAUGUGGUCGUGAACGCCAUGUCGCCUCCAAGUGUCACCGCCGCUUUUAG
Molecule: ribosomal RNA, 609 nt
Filed under: Triticum aestivum (bread wheat)
Lineage: Eukaryota; Viridiplantae; Streptophyta; Magnoliopsida; Poales; Poaceae
Description: partial small subunit ribosomal RNA
Source: RNAcentral